RNAcentral lists this ribosomal RNA (497 nucleotides) under uncultured bacterium. Its description in RNAcentral is "partial 16S ribosomal RNA". It matches the Rfam family "Bacterial small subunit ribosomal RNA", at positions 28 to 507 of the family's 1533-position model. The record is from RNAcentral.
GAUGAAUGCUGGCGGCGUGCCUAAUACAUGCAAGUCGAGCGAACAGAUGAGGAGCUUGCUCCUCUGACGUUAGCGGCGGACGGGUGAGUAACACGUGGAUAACCUACCUAUAAGACUGGGAUAACUUCGGGAAACCGGAGCUAAUACCGGAUAAUAUAUUGAACCGCAUGGUUCAAUAGUGAAAGACGGUUUUGCUGUCACUUAUAGAUGGAUCCGCGCCGCAUUAGCUAGUUGGUAAGGUAACGGCUUACCAAGGCAACGAUGCGUAGCCGACCUGAGAGGGUGAUCGGCCACACUGGAACUGAGACACGGUCCAGACUCCUACGGGAGGCAGCAGUAGGGAAUCUUCCGCAAUGGGCGAAAGCCUGACGGAGCAACGCCGCGUGAGUGAUGAAGGUCUUCGGAUCGUAAAACUCUGUUAUUAGGGAAGAACAAAUGUGUAAGUAACUAUGCACGUCUUGACGGUACCUAAUCAGAAGGCCACGGCUAACUACGUG